AAUGAUGGCUCAGGACGAACGCUGGCGGCGCGCCUAACACAUGCAAGUCGAACGAGAGAUGAGGAGCUUGCUCUUCAAAUCGAGUGGCGAACGGGUGAGUAACGCGUGAGGAACCUGCCUCAAAGAGGGGGACAACAGUUGGAAACGACUGCUAAUACCGCAUAAGCCCACGGCUCGGCAUCGAGCAGAGGGAAAAGGAGCAAUCCGCUUUGAGAUGGCCUCGCGUCCGAUUAG
Molecule: ribosomal RNA, 234 nt
Filed under: uncultured bacterium
Lineage: Bacteria
Description: partial 16S ribosomal RNA
Rfam family: Bacterial small subunit ribosomal RNA
Source: RNAcentral